GUGAAUAAGGGCAUACGGUGGAUGCCUUGGCGGAAACAGGCGAUGAAGGACGUGGGCACCUGCGAAAAGCCUCGGGGAGCUGGUAAACGAGCUGUGAUCCGGGGAUGUCCGAAUGGGGAAACCCGACUCUUAGGAGUCAUUGCUGAUGGAAUACAUAGAGUCAGCAAAGCGAACGCGGUGAACUGAAACAUCUCAGUAGCUGCAGGAACAGAAAUCAACCGAGA
Molecule: ribosomal RNA, 224 nt
Filed under: Acidithiobacillus caldus
Lineage: Bacteria; Pseudomonadati; Pseudomonadota; Acidithiobacillia; Acidithiobacillales; Acidithiobacillaceae
Description: partial 23S ribosomal RNA
Rfam family: Bacterial large subunit ribosomal RNA
Source: RNAcentral